UUUUAGCGGCGGACGGGUGAGUAACGUGUGGGUAACCUGCCUUUUACUGUGGAAUAAUCGUUGGAAACGACGACUAAUACCGCAUACGAUUUUCUGAAGGCAUCUUCGGAAAAAGAAAGGAAAUAUUCGGUAAAAGAUGGGCCCGCAUCUGAUUAGCUAGUUGGUGAGAUAAUAGCCCACCAAGGCAACGAUCAGUAGCCGACCUGAGAGGGUGACCGGCCACAUUGGGACUGAGACACGGCCCAAACUCCUACGGGAGGCAGCAG
Molecule: ribosomal RNA, 266 nt
Filed under: uncultured bacterium
Lineage: Bacteria
Description: partial 16S ribosomal RNA
Rfam family: Bacterial small subunit ribosomal RNA
Source: RNAcentral